UACGGAGGGGGCUAGCGUUGUUCGGAAUUACUGGGCGUAAAGCGCACGUAGGCGGCUUGGUAAGUCAGGGGUGAAAUCCCGGAGCUCAACUCCGGAACUGCCUUUGAGACUGCUUGGCUUGAAUCCGGGAGAGGUGAGUGGAAUUCCGAGUGUAGAGGUGAAAUUCGUAGAUAUUCGGAAGAACACCAGUGGCGAAGGCGGCUCACUGGACCGGCAUUGACGCUGAGGUG
RNAcentral lists this ribosomal RNA (230 nucleotides) under uncultured microorganism. Its description in RNAcentral is "partial 16S ribosomal RNA". It matches the Rfam family "Bacterial small subunit ribosomal RNA", at positions 524 to 753 of the family's 1533-position model. The record is from RNAcentral.